UACGGGGGGGCAAGGCGUGUUCGGAAUUACUGGGCGUAAAGGGCUUGUAGGUGGCCAACUAAGUCAGACGUGAAAUCCCCCGGCUUAACCGGGGAACUGCGUCUGAUACUGGAUGGCUAGAGAUUGGGAGAGGGACGCGGAAUUCCAGGUGUAGCGGUGAAAUGCGUAGAUAUCUGGAGGAACACCGGUGGCGAAGGCGGCGUCCUGGACCAACACAGACACUGAAAAGCGAAAGCCAGGGGAGCAAACGGG
Molecule: ribosomal RNA, 252 nt
Filed under: uncultured bacterium
Lineage: Bacteria
Description: partial 16S ribosomal RNA
Rfam family: Bacterial small subunit ribosomal RNA
Source: RNAcentral